CAAUAGCGUAUACUAAAGUUGUUGCGGUUAAAAAGCUCGUAGUUGGAUUUCUGCUGAGAACGACCGGUCCGCCCUUUGGGUGUGUAUCUGGCUCUUUCUUGGCAUCUUCUUGGUGAACGUUGCUGCACUUGACUGUGUGGAGCGCUACCCAGGACUUUUACUUUGAGGAAAUUAGAGUGUUUCAAGCAGGCAUACGCCUUGAAUACAUUAGCAUGGAAUAAUAAGAUAGGACCUCGGUUCUAUUUUGUUGGUUUCUAGAGCUGAGGUAAUGAUUAAUAGGGAUAGUUGGGGGCAUUCGUAUUUAACUGUCAGAGGUGAAAUUCUUGGAUUUGUUAAAGACGGACUACAGCGAAAGCAUUUGCCAAGGAUGUUUUCAUUGA
This 380-nucleotide ribosomal RNA is filed under the name uncultured eukaryote. RNAcentral describes it as "partial 18S ribosomal RNA". It matches the Rfam family "Eukaryotic small subunit ribosomal RNA", at positions 592 to 976 of the family's 1831-position model. The record is from RNAcentral.